AAUAAUUUAAAAAUUAUUCUUAAAUAACUUUGUGCUGAAUCAGAGAUCUAGGACUCAGGAAUAUAAUCUGGGACAUUUAAGAGUGCUUGCACUUUUAAGUAAUCCACAUUUUUGUUCUUAAUAUCACAUAUAAAGCAAAAAGAAGAGAGAAUUCAGUGAAUAUAUAGAAAGAACUUUCAGUCAUAUUUUAAUGAUAUGCCAGAAAACUACAGUAACUCUGAUGCAUCCUUGACUCAAAUAGUUCUGCAGAACUACCAGAUGCAAGGGGGGUUAUAGGAUGAUGAAGAAUAGCCAUGGACAAAAUAAAUUAAUUAAUUAAAUAAAAGGGUGAUUGAGAGACUGUGAAAUGAAAUGCUACCUCAGAUCUUACCCUGCCUACCUUGAAAACGCGUGGAAUUCAUUUCAUACUACAUCUGAGCCAGUUUAACUUUUCUUUGCAGAUAUCUUGAAUGUUGCCAAAUAUGAUUAAAAGAAUAGUUUACGUUCUCAUCAGGUACCACCUCCAUGACAUACAGAACCCAAAUUUUAAUCAUGAGCAAAUGGAGCUUUCACCAAAGUACUGAUAACUGCUCUUGAAAUAGGAAACCAAGCCCUGGUGAGAUGGAAGAGACAGUUCAAGUCUUGUUGCUGAAAACACCUUUACCAGUCUCAAGGUAAUAAAUUUGGAGACAUGCAGAUAUCCAUUACUUUAUUCUGUCAACUGUACUUGGGUUCACAAUAGCUUAAGUCAAUUAUCACAGUUAUAUUUUCCACAUAUCCAGGAACUCAAAGAUUACAGCAUCCCCUCUCAAAUCAUAAAUGCCAUACCUGCAGGCUGAACCACAUUAUACUCUGAGACUUUUGUGUUGUUAACAGCAUGAAGUCUGCCCAUGGAGAGAAAUGAGCGCUGCCAAAGCUAUGAGGGAUGAUGACUAUUUUACUGCUGUGCAUUUAAUAAUCCCCAUUCAGCAAAAAAUUCCUGGAGUCUUACAUCAUUCAGACUACCCAAACAUUGGAUACAAUGACUGAAGGAAAGAAGUGCAGUAACAACUUUGAGGCUGUAGUUUAUUUUUGUAUUUGUUUCCUUCUUCUUCUUCUUCUUCUUCUUUUUAAAGUAUGCUUCUUAAUACUAUGCACUAUACUGUAGAGAAAAAGAUUACAUACUGAAGUUGUAAAUGACACUUGUAAGUAAUAAAGCC
This 1178-nucleotide long non-coding RNA is filed under the name Gallus gallus (chicken). RNAcentral describes it as "lncRNA (ENSGALG00010005101.1)". The record is from RNAcentral. Lineage: Eukaryota; Metazoa; Chordata; Aves; Galliformes; Phasianidae.